Long non-coding RNA from Rhincodon typus (whale shark), 421 nucleotides. RefSeq lists it as uncharacterized. NCBI's taxonomy places the organism in Eukaryota, Metazoa, Chordata, Chondrichthyes, Orectolobiformes, Rhincodontidae. The record is from RefSeq and is a predicted model, not a curated record. The transcript has 2 exons.
UCCUGUGGUCAGAGAAGAUUUGAUUCCUAGUAAUGCAAAGUAAUGAAUUGAAGACUGUGAGUGCAAGGUCAUAGAUAGGGUGAAAAUAAAUAUUUUUGAGUAGUUUGUCAGUCAAGGAGGAGCGCUCCAGCUCCAGCUGCUCCUGGCCUCACCAAAAAUGAUGUGCUCUUUCCCAGUAAGCAAAACAAAAUUGAAAAACUCUGGAUGCUGGAAAACAGGGAAAAAAAGACAGAAAUUGCUGGAGAAACUCAGCAGGAGUCUUCAAUGAUACAACAUUGACAGCUGCUUAUAAACAGAAGCACUUACUUGAACAGCUCGCCCACCGAGUGAUUGAUCAAGAUUGACUGUGAGGAAUGCUGACAUGGUCAGUUCAUCUUUAGUUGCAUGGGCUCCUUGCCUGAAAUAAAUCAAACUGAUCUAA